Molecule: ribosomal RNA, 490 nt
Filed under: uncultured bacterium
Lineage: Bacteria
Description: partial 16S ribosomal RNA
Rfam family: Bacterial small subunit ribosomal RNA
Source: RNAcentral
GAUGAACGCUAGCGAUAGGCUUAACACAUGCAAGUCGAGGGGCAGCAUGGUCUUAGCUUGCUAAGACUGAUGGCGACCGGCGCACGGGUGCGUAACGCGUAUGCAACUUGCCUCACAGAGGGGGAUAACCCGUCGAAAGACGGACUAAUACCGCGUACACUUGGGAUAGGGCAUCCUGACCCAAGGAAAUGAAAUUCGCUGUGAGAUAGGCAUGCGUCCCAUUAGCUAGUUGGUGAGGUAACGGCUCACCAAGGCGACGAUGGGUAGGGGAACUGAGAGGUUGAACCCCCACACUGGUACUGAGACACGGACCAGACUCGUACGGGAGGCAGCAGUGAGGAAUAUUGGUCAAUGGGCGAGAGCCUGAACCAGCCAAGUCGCGUGAAGGAUGACUGUCUUAUGGAUUGUAAACUUCUUUUAUACGGGAAUAACAAGAGUCACGUGUGGCUCCCUGCAUGUACCGUAUGAAUAAGCAUCGGCUAACUCCGUG